This 596-nucleotide ribosomal RNA is filed under the name Chilodus punctatus (spotted headstander). RNAcentral's name for it is "partial 16S ribosomal RNA". It matches the Rfam family "Bacterial large subunit ribosomal RNA", at positions 1808 to 2608 of the family's 2925-position model. Lineage: Eukaryota; Metazoa; Chordata; Actinopteri; Characiformes; Chilodontidae. The record is from RNAcentral.
CAAAAACAUCGCCUCCUGCUAAAUCUUCGAAGUAUAGGAGGUCCUGCCUGCCCAGUGACUUCUUGUUAAAUGGCCGCGGUAUUUUGACCGUGCUAAGGUAGCGCAAUCACUUGUCUUUUAAAUGAAGACCCGUAUGAAUGGUAAAACGAGGGCUUAACUGUCUCCCUUCUUUGGUCAAUGAAAUUGAUCUGCCCGUGCAGAAGCGGACAUAUUAAUACAAGACGAGAAGACCCUUUGGAGCUUAAGACAAAAAGCCAACUGUAUAAAAAUUCAUAUAAAAUGAAGUUUAACAAAACAGCCAUUUGGCCCACGUCUUCGGUUGGGGCGACCACGGAGUAAAACAAAACCUCCAUACAGAAUGGGAUUUCCUCUCAAACCAAGAGAUACAUCUCUAAGUCGCAGAACAUCUGACUAUAAGAUCCGGCUUAUAAAGCCGAUCAACGGACCAAGUUACCCUAGGGAUAACAGCGCAAUCCCCUUCAAGAGUCCCUAUCGACAAGGGGGUUUACGACCUCGAUGUUGGAUCAGGACAUCCUAAUGGUGCAGCCGCUAUUAAGGGUUCGUUUGUUCAACGAUUAAAGUCCUACGUGAUCUGA